CGCGAUUCCAUUUGCCUAGCUCUUCAUCCCGCAACAAAUGCUUACAAACAAAAACAACACUAGUGCAAGGGAUUAGUGGUAAGUAGUCCGGAGGUUAGUUGUUCUUCCUAGAUUAUCUCUAGUUUCUAGUUUGGAUUUAGAUGGAACCUCACCUUGAUUUUAGAAUUCUUAAACCUAGUUGGACUGCACUCCACUAAUUUCUCUAUGGAAUUCUUGCAGCACUAAUCUUCUCACACUAGCCCUUGAGAUCUUGAUCAAUCUCCUUAGUUCCCACCCUCUUCUCUACUCUUUCUAUGCUCUCCUUCUCUCCCUAACUCUCUCGAGACAUUUGGUGGCC
This 337-nucleotide long non-coding RNA is filed under the name Sorghum bicolor (sorghum). Its description in RNAcentral is "long non-coding RNA (SBIC_LNC008530)". Lineage: Eukaryota; Viridiplantae; Streptophyta; Magnoliopsida; Poales; Poaceae. The record is from RNAcentral.